UACGUAGGCGGAAUAUUAAGUCAGUGGUGAAAUCCUGCGGCUCAACCGUAGAACUGCCAUUGAUACUGAUGUUCUUGAAUAUAGUUGAGGUAGGCGGAAUGUGUAAUGUAGCGGUGAAAUGCUUAGAUAUUACACAGAACACCGAUUGCGAAGGCAGCUUACUAAACUAUUAUUGACGCUGAUGUACGAAAGCGUGGGGAGCGAACAGGAUUAGAUACCCUGGUAGUC
Molecule: ribosomal RNA, 228 nt
Filed under: uncultured bacterium
Lineage: Bacteria
Description: partial 16S ribosomal RNA
Rfam family: Bacterial small subunit ribosomal RNA
Source: RNAcentral